UACGAAGGGGGCGAGCGUUGUUCGGAAUUACUGGGCGUAAAGGGCGCGCAGGCGGCCUUAGAAGUCAGAUGUGAAAGCCCCGGGCUCAACCUGGGAAUGGCAUUUGAUACUCUGAGGCUGGAGUACGGGAGAGGAGAGUGGAAUUCCCAGUGUAGAGGUGAAAUUCGUAGAUAUUGGGAAGAACACCGGUGGCGAAGGCGGCUCUCUGGACCGUAACUGACGCUGAGGCGCGAAAGCUAGGGGAGCAAACAGG
This 253-nucleotide ribosomal RNA is filed under the name uncultured bacterium. RNAcentral's name for it is "partial 16S ribosomal RNA". It matches the Rfam family "Bacterial small subunit ribosomal RNA", at positions 524 to 776 of the family's 1533-position model. The record is from RNAcentral.